UACAGACCUUCGAUUUGGUUCAGGACCCUCCCUGAACCAAGGAAGGCCAGUCUCUUCCUUGGUUCAGGGAGGGUCCCCAACAGUGUCCUCAUGG
Molecule: microRNA precursor, 94 nt
Filed under: Colobus angolensis palliatus
Lineage: Eukaryota; Metazoa; Chordata; Mammalia; Primates; Cercopithecidae
Description: miRNA (ENSCANG00000010421.1)
Source: RNAcentral